AGUGAACUUCGUUUAAAGUGAAAAUCCUUUUAUGGCGGGGUUCGCCAUAAAAGAUUGAAACGGAAAGCGGGAAUUACU
RNAcentral lists this small RNA (78 nucleotides) under Flavobacterium sp. 245. RNAcentral's name for it is "Flavo-1 RNA". It matches the Rfam family "Flavo-1 RNA". Lineage: Bacteria; Pseudomonadati; Bacteroidota; Flavobacteriia; Flavobacteriales; Flavobacteriaceae. The record is from RNAcentral.